Molecule: long non-coding RNA, 887 nt
Organism: Cavia porcellus (domestic guinea pig)
Lineage: Eukaryota; Metazoa; Chordata; Mammalia; Rodentia; Caviidae
Exons: 2
Source: RefSeq, a predicted model, not a curated record
GGUCCACCAGAGGUUGCCGAGUACCUACUGCCGCCCAGCGCUAAGAAAAGAGCAAAAAAUAAAAGCAAAACAAUAAAGAAAACAAGAGAGGAAGGGAAAUAGAAAGUCAGCUCAAGGGGACUCCAGAGCGUGGGGAGCAGAGGCGCCGCGCCAUAGCGGACUCGCCGAGCGCGGGCGGGCGGGCAGACUUGGAGCUCUGCUGGCUGCAGUGCACAGACGUGCUGCUGUGGCCGUGAACUGACAUAAGGACACCAAAGGGCGGCUUGGGUGACACGUCUGCCGGCAGGUCUGCUUGCGCUAAGCGUUUAUCUCCAUGCCCAGGCUCCCUUCCUGCCUCUGCGCUCCCAAUAGCUCUCCGUGGACAGUUCCACCCAUGCCGGAUCCCUGGGCUCACAGUCAGGGACUAUGGCAUGGUCGAGCUUCCCCUGGACGAGCUCCGUGGGUCAGAGAGGGCUCCAGGACGCAGACAGGCAGGGAGCACAAAAGAGAAGAAGGGAAGAAGGGCCCGAGGCGCACGGAGACAGAGGGUGUGUGCUCCGCUCCGAGUCAGUAAUUCGGGAGCAUUUUCGACACCAGAGCGCUAUGCCAGGCGAGCUUCAUUGACUCCCUAGGGGCUUGGGGAGCAGAGCAUAGGAUUAGUUGCCGUAGAAGGAGCUCCUCCAAUGAGAUCCUGUCUGCUUUCUGAUUUGGCGGCCCUUCCGAGAAACAUGACAUCCUUUCCUCCUGGCUCUCGGCUGCUUCUCUCCAUGUCAACCCCCAAAGCCCAACUCUCCACCUGCAAUUUCUACAGCAGAACCUCGACCAUCACCAUCACCCCUGUGUCCCAUCCUGAGUACCCAUGGGCUACAAAGGUGCCACUGUGGAAUAAAUGAAGCGUUGCUUGUUGA